This 211-nucleotide unclassified non-coding RNA is filed under the name Hevea brasiliensis (rubber tree). Lineage: Eukaryota; Viridiplantae; Streptophyta; Magnoliopsida; Malpighiales; Euphorbiaceae. The record is from RNAcentral.
UUUUUUUUUUUUUAGGUUUCUCUCAGCAAUGCAAUGCUAGUAUUAUUGCAUUAAUAAAGAACGCAGUGUUCAGAAAUUUGGUUCUUUUAAUUAAAGCACAACGGCUAUUUUUGUCGAUUAUUUUCAGCUGAAUCCUCUCCUCGCUUGCAUUGCAUAGCGUUGUUGUUCAGGCUUUCAUCGUUAAUUAAACUGCAAGCUCUUCCGCCCCCGG